AGUGAACGCUGGCGGUAGGCCUAACACAUGCAAGUCGAACGGCAGCACAGUAAGAGCUUGCUCUUACGGGUGGCGAGUGGCGGACGGGUGAGGAAUACAUCGGAAUCUACUUUUUCGUGGGGGAUAACGUAGGGAAACUUACGCUAAUACCGCAUACGCUCUACGGGUGAAAGCAGGGGAUCUUCGGACCUUGCGCGAUUGAAUUAGCCGAUGUCGGAUUUGCUAGUUGGCGGGGUAAAGGCCCACCAAGGCGCGGAUCCGUAGCUGGUCUGAGAGGAUGAUCGCCCGCACUGGAACUGGGACACGGUCCAGGCUCCUGCGGGAGGCAGCAGUGGGGAAUAUUGGACAGAGGGCGCAAGCCUUAUCCAGCCAUCCCGCGUGGGUGAAGGAGGCCUUCGGGUUGUAAAGCCCUUUUGUUGGUAAAGAAAAGCAGCAGGUUAAUACCCCGCUGUUCUGACGGUACCCAAAGAAUAAGCACCGGCUAACUUCGUG
This 492-nucleotide ribosomal RNA is filed under the name uncultured bacterium. Its description in RNAcentral is "partial 16S ribosomal RNA". It matches the Rfam family "Bacterial small subunit ribosomal RNA", at positions 29 to 507 of the family's 1533-position model. The record is from RNAcentral.